Molecule: non-coding RNA, 31 nt
Filed under: Mus musculus (house mouse)
Lineage: Eukaryota; Metazoa; Chordata; Mammalia; Rodentia; Muridae
Source: RNAcentral
UCNCACUGGGGACCAUAACUAAGAUGAGAGC